GGGGAAUAUUGCACAAUGGGCGAAAGCCUGAUGCAGCAACGCCGCGUGAAGGAAGAAGGGUUUCGGCUCGUAAACUUCUAUCAACAGGGACGAAAAAAAUGACGGUACCUGAAUAAGAAGCCCCGGCUAACUACGUGCCAGCAGCCGCGGUCAUACGUAGGGGGCAAGCGUUAUCCGGAAUUACUGGGUGUAAAGGGAGAGUAGGCGGCAUGGUAAGUUAGAUGUGAAAGCCCGAGGCUUAACCUCGGGAUUGCAUUUAAAACUAUCAAGCUAGAGUACAGGAGAGGUAAGUGGAAUUCCUAGUGUAGCGGUGAAAUGCGUAGAUAUUAGGAAGAACACCAGUGGCGAAGGCGACUUACUGGACUGAAACUGACGCUGAGGCUCGAAAGCGUGGGGAGCGAAC
RNAcentral lists this ribosomal RNA (403 nucleotides) under uncultured bacterium. RNAcentral's name for it is "bacterial SSU rRNA". It matches the Rfam family "Bacterial small subunit ribosomal RNA", at positions 356 to 773 of the family's 1533-position model. The record is from RNAcentral.